Molecule: small nuclear RNA, 135 nt
Organism: Artibeus jamaicensis (Jamaican fruit-eating bat)
Lineage: Eukaryota; Metazoa; Chordata; Mammalia; Chiroptera; Phyllostomidae
Product: U4 spliceosomal RNA
Exons: 1
Source: RefSeq, a predicted model, not a curated record
AGCUUUGUGCAGUAUCGUAGCCAAUGAGGUUUAUCCGAGGCACGAUUAUUGCUAAUUGAAAACUUUUCCCAAUACCCCAUCAUGAUGACUUGAAAUAUAGUCGGCACUGGCAAUUUUUUAUGGUCUCUAUAGAUA